GAUGAACGCUGGCGGCGUGCCUAAUACAUGCAAGUCGAGCGAACGGACGAGAAGCUUGCUUCUCUGAUGUUAGCGGCGGACGAGUGAGUAACACGUGGAUAACCUACCUAUAAGACUGGGAUAACUUCGGGAAACCGGAGCUAAUACCGGAUGAUAUUUUGAACCGCAUGGUUCAAAAGUGAAAGACGGUCUUGCUGUCACUUAUAGAUGGAUCCGCGCUGCAUUAGCUAGUUGGUAAGGUAACGGCUUACCAAGGCAACGAUGCAUAGCCGACCUGAGAGGGUGAUCGGCCACACUGGAACUGAGACACGGUCCAGACUCCUACGGGAGGCAGCAGUAGGGAAUCUUCUGCAAUGGGCGAAAGCCUGACGGAGCAACGCCGCGUGAGUGAUGAAGGUCUUCGGAUCGUAAAACUCUGUUAUUAGGGAAGAACAUAUGUGUAAGUAACUGUGCACAUCUUGACGGUACCUAAUCAGAAAGCCACGGCUAACUACGUG
This 497-nucleotide ribosomal RNA is filed under the name uncultured bacterium. RNAcentral's name for it is "partial 16S ribosomal RNA". It matches the Rfam family "Bacterial small subunit ribosomal RNA", at positions 28 to 507 of the family's 1533-position model. The record is from RNAcentral.